AUGUUAGUUUAUCUUGAGUUGAAUUAGGGUUUUUGACUUAGGUGAGUGUCUAUAUCACAUAAUAGGUCAUUAAUUCUUUAGGGUGAAAAUCUAGUAAGUAACCUUAGGAACAAUAUUCGGUCAUUAAUUAAAAUCAAGUGUGCUGCUAGACUCGUCGCGGAAAGGCUCGAGGAUAUUGGUAGGUCUAGGAGUAGUUAAAAGGAAUUAACUGCCCAUUGUCUAUCAAACCAAGAUUAAACCCAUAGUUGCUUUAGACGUUCGCGCGGCAAAGUAGAGCGUCUUACAUAAGCACUUUCAAGAAACUAGAGGACGGACAAGAAAUCUAGAAAACCGGUAGUUUAACAACCUCUAGGGAAUCUUAGUGUGCUCUUGAGAGGGAUUAGGGGUCCUUAGAUUUCCCUAGAGGUGAGAAUUUCAAGAUCCCGGUUUCACACCACAUCAUUAUCAUUUAGGAAUCCAUUCCGAGUUUAGCCUGCGUCUAGCCUAGGUAGUCUUCACUCUCACU
RNAcentral lists this long non-coding RNA (505 nucleotides) under Helianthus annuus (common sunflower). Its description in RNAcentral is "hypothetical non coding rna". The record is from RNAcentral. Lineage: Eukaryota; Viridiplantae; Streptophyta; Magnoliopsida; Asterales; Asteraceae.